Molecule: ribosomal RNA, 402 nt
Filed under: uncultured bacterium
Lineage: Bacteria
Description: bacterial SSU rRNA
Rfam family: Bacterial small subunit ribosomal RNA
Source: RNAcentral
UGGGGAAUAUUGCACAAUGGGCGAAAGCCUGAUGCAGCAACGCCGCGUGAGUGAGGAAGGCCUUCGGGUUGUAAAGCUCUGUCUUUUGGGACGAUAAUGACGGUACCAAAGGAGGAAGCCACGGCUAACUACGUGCCAGCAGCCGCGGUAAUACGUAGGUGGCAAGCGUUGUCCGGAAUUACUGGGCGUAAAGAAUGCGUAGGUGGAUAUGCAAGUCAGAUGUGAAAUACCCGGGCUCAACUGGGGUGCUGCAUUUGAAACUAUAUAGCUAGAGUGCAGGAGAGGAAAGCGGAAUUCCUAGUGUAGCGGUGAAAUGCGUAGAGAUUAGGAAGAACACCAGUGGCGAAGGCGGCUUUCUGGACUGUAACUGACACUGAGGCAUGAAAGCGUGGGGAGCAAACA